GACGCGGGGCCCCCCAGAAAGCUGCCAGGGUGGAAGAGGCUGCUGCUGUAGUCGUGGGCUGCCGGCACGUAGGAGGGGGUUAAAACCCACCCGUGUCUGGCUGUCUGUCCUGUUUUCGAUCUCCUUUUCCCCGGCUCCGACACACCGAAGCGGCCCCGAGUGAAACUUCUCACCCCCGCUCAGGACACCCGCGGCUCGUACGGAGGGGCCCGGAGCGCUGCCGAGACGGCGGGGAAGGGCCCGGGGUGCUGAUUUACCGUGUGCCUGGCUGUAGGACACCCUGGCCCGGGCAUGGGCGGAAUUGGCGUAGUAAGGGUUGCCCUGGGAGUCCAGGUGGUUGAAGAAGACGUCGACUUCAUCCGGAGGUUAUAUCGGGAGCAGCUGUUGUAGGAGGGAGGCCGACCCCUCAGGUUUGAUUUGUUUCUCCUCAGGCAAAACUUUGCUGGGGAUGGACCGACCCAGCACGGAGAACGGGACUCGAUUCACGCCCGGCAGCGGCGGUGCCCAGCGGCCGCCUGUCCCUGCGAGCCGCGGGGCUGAGCCAGGCCGGAGCUUAUUAGACUUCCGAGGAGAAACUAUUUGUGUUUUAAUAAAGAUGCUCCGUGCGCCGGGGAAGAACAAUCCCCGCACCCGAAACUCGCACCCCCUUAGUGAAAUCGCUUUUCUUAUUGAAAUCGCACCAAAUCCAGGCAGGCUUCGCUCCCGGACGCUUCUCUUUUUUUAUAUUUUUUUUUUUCCUUGCCUUCCAGCCUGAGCACCCCAAAGCAAAAGGAGGAUAAAGAGGGGAACUUAGCACAUACAAAAACAGAAGAAAAAAAAAAAAAAAAAGGCGAAGGGGUGAAAGAGUCGGCGAAGAGGAGCGGCCGUGUCCCCGAUGUGCCUGGCCUUUCGGGCUAUGCACCUGCACGUAAGUGAGGCAGCGGAGAAGCUGGAAGAGGCACAAGCAGAUAUUACGUGACGAGUCGUUAUAGCUAGGAAAGAGACGGAAGAGGGAGACGCUGUCGGCAGCCGCGUCCUGGGAUCGCCCCGCACGGAACGACUCCAAAACGAGGAACUGUCGCUCAGGCGGAAAAACUACGGGGAAAGUGGGGUUUGAAGGCUGCAGAUUUUUCCCCAAGCGGGGUCAGACGGGGGUAUGCGAGCCGGGGGCUCAGGGGGAUGAGAGCGGAGCAGUGCCCGCCCGAGCCUCACCGCGCUGUGCCGGCUCUCCAGCCGCGCUGUCCCGGGACAGCCGGGGUCACUUCUCCACGUGCCACCAGAGACACUGGGGGCCGGAGGGGCAGGGAGUCAGCAUUUUCCCCUCAUGCCUGCUGGAAGAGAAGGAUGUUUUUCUUUCCUGUUAAGCUUUCGUGCUAAAGAUGUCAUCUGAAAGUCUGGGAGGAAGGGGGGACCGUGCUCUGCUCUCUUUCACGGUAACAACCAUAUUCUGCAUAUUGAAAAAUAUGAUAGACAGUGAAGGAAAAUUUUCUUCCCCAUUAAAAAAAAAAAAAAAAAAAAAAAAAAAAAAAAAAAAAAGGAAGGAAAAAAAAA
This is a long non-coding RNA of Parus major (Great Tit), 1530 nucleotides long. RefSeq lists it as uncharacterized. The transcript is spliced from 5 exons. NCBI's taxonomy places the organism in Eukaryota, Metazoa, Chordata, Aves, Passeriformes, Paridae. The record is from RefSeq and is a predicted model, not a curated record.